This 460-nucleotide ribosomal RNA is filed under the name uncultured bacterium. RNAcentral describes it as "partial 16S ribosomal RNA". It matches the Rfam family "Bacterial small subunit ribosomal RNA", at positions 338 to 795 of the family's 1533-position model. The record is from RNAcentral.
CCUACGGGCGGCAGCAGUGAGGAAUAUUGGUCAAUGGACGCGAGCCUGAACCAGCCAAGCAGCGUGAAGGAUGACUGCCCUACGGGUUGUAAACUUCUUUUAUAAAGGAAUAAAGUGAGGCACGUGUUACUUUUUGUAAGUACUUUAUGAAUAAGGAUCGGCUAACUCCGUGCCAGCAGCCGCGGUAAUACGGAGGAUCCGAGCGUUAUCCGGAUUUAUUGGGUUUAAAGGGAGCGUAGAUGGGUUGUUAAGUCAGUUGUGAAAGUUUGCGGCUCAACUGUAAAAUUGCAUUUGAUACUGGCAGUCGUGAGUACAGUUGAGGUAGGCGGAAUUCGUGGUGUAGCGGUGACAUGCUUAGAUAUCACGCAGAACUCCGAUUGCGAAGGCAGCUUACUAAACUGUCACUGACAUUGAUGCUCGAAAGUGUGGGUAUCAAACAGGAUUAGAUACCCCGGUAGUC